This 519-nucleotide ribosomal RNA is filed under the name Salmonella enterica. Its description in RNAcentral is "partial 23S ribosomal RNA". It matches the Rfam family "Bacterial large subunit ribosomal RNA", at positions 103 to 651 of the family's 2925-position model. Lineage: Bacteria; Pseudomonadati; Pseudomonadota; Gammaproteobacteria; Enterobacterales; Enterobacteriaceae. The record is from RNAcentral.
ACCGGCGAUUUCCGAAUGGGGAAACCCAGUGUGACUCGUCACACUAUCAUUAACUGAAUCCAUAGGUUAAUGAGGCGAACCGGGGGAACUGAAACAUCUAAGUACCCCGAGGAAAAGAAAUCAACCGAGAUUCCCCCAGUAGCGGCGAGCGAACGGGGAGGAGCCCAGAGCCUGAAUCAGCAUGUGUGUUAGUGGAAGCGUCUGGAAAGGCGCGCGAUACAGGGUGACAGCCCCGUACACAAAAGCGCAUGUGCUGUGAGCUCGAUGAGUAGGGCGGGACACGUGGUAUCCUGUCUGAAUAUGGGGGGACCAUCCUCCAAGGCUAAAUACUCCUGACUGACCGAUAGUGAACCAGUACCGUGAGGGAAAGGCGAAAAGAACCCCGGCGAGGGGAGUGAAAAAGAACCUGAAACCGUGUACGUACAAGCAGUGGGAGCCCCACCACUAAGCCAGUGGUGAACUCCACAUACGCAUCCUUUGCUGAGGAUACGGUUAACGGAGCGAAAGCGACGUUCAACC